GGAUCAAAGUUUACCGAGAAAAAGGCAUAACCUGGAAUUGAAAAGCCAUACCUUUUGAUUUAACUCAAAUGAUUUUCUAGAGAUAUAUUUGUCAUGAAAUACUUUGGUUCGAGCCUUGUAAAUUCAUGAACUCUCGUAUGCAUCGUUGCGAAGUUCUUCCAGUUCAUUGAUUUGCAACCUUCGAUUAGAACCUGCAUUCUUCAUGUUAAAAUUAAACAUUCGUAUGGCCCAGAGUGCACGAUGUUCUAAUUCAACCGACAGAUGGCAAGCUUUGCCAUAAACUAAUCGGUAGGGUGACAUACCGAUAGGGGUUUUAAAAGCUGUACGGUAAGCCCAUAAUACAUCAUCUAAGCGAAGAGACCAAUCCUUUCUAUCG
This 376-nucleotide long non-coding RNA is filed under the name Elaeis guineensis (African oil palm). Its description in RNAcentral is "long non-coding RNA (EGUI_LNC028655)". The record is from RNAcentral. Lineage: Eukaryota; Viridiplantae; Streptophyta; Magnoliopsida; Arecales; Arecaceae.